Molecule: unclassified non-coding RNA, 304 nt
Filed under: plant metagenome
Description: partial contains 5.8S ribosomal RNA, internal transcribed spacer 2, and large subunit ribosomal RNA
Rfam family: 5.8S ribosomal RNA (bases 1-105)
Source: RNAcentral
GAAAUGCGAUAAGUAAUGUGAAUUGCAGAAUUCCGUGAAUCAUCGAAUCUUUGAACGCACAUUGCGCCCCCUGGCAUUCCGGGGGGCAUGCCUGUCCGGGCGUCAUUUCUGCCCUCAAGCACGGCUUGUGUGUUGGGUGUGGUCCCCCCGGGGACCUGCCCGAAAGGCAGCGGCGACGUCCGUCUGGUCCUCGAGCGUAUGGGGCUCUGUCACUCGCUCGGGAAGGACCUGCGGGGGUUGGUCACCACCAUAUUUCACCACGGUUGACCUCGGAUCAGGUAGGAGUUACCCGCUGAACUUAAGC